UUAAUCGUCAACACAAGUGGCCACCACAAACCGCCGCUCGCCAGAGAAGUACAGGUGAAAAACCAGAAACUCAAAGGACUUGGCGGUGUCCCACAUCAACCUAGAGGAGCCUGUCCCAUAAUCGAUACUCCACGUUAAACCUCACCCACUUUUGCCCUUCAGCCUAUAUACCGCCGUCGCCAGCCUACCUAAUGAUAGACACACAGCAGGCAAAAUAGUCUUCACUAAUACGUCAGGUCAAGGUGUAGCUAAUAAGUGGGCCUCAGAUGGGCUACAUUUUCUAAACACAAGAAAACCACCACACGCACUAUGAAACAUAAGCUGUAAGGCGGAUUUAGCAGUAAGCUGGGCAAGACAGCUCAACUGAAAACUGCCCUGGGACAC
Molecule: ribosomal RNA, 384 nt
Filed under: Ptyodactylus hasselquistii
Lineage: Eukaryota; Metazoa; Chordata; Lepidosauria; Squamata; Phyllodactylidae
Description: partial 12S ribosomal RNA
Rfam family: Bacterial small subunit ribosomal RNA
Source: RNAcentral